UUCUCAUUGUGGCCUGCAUAUCUUUCUACUUACACUUCUCCUACUGUCCUACAACAUAUUCUCUCAUAAAUUUUUGUGUGUAAAGCUGGAUCACAUUUAUCCUCCUCCUCCUUAUUUGUGGUAUGUCUUUCUUCUUCACUCAUAUCCUAAGACACAUUAUCCCAUCAUCAGAAAGAGUAACUCACAUUGAUUAUAGUUAUUAAUUGUUCUUUAUUUAUAUUUCUUCUCUUACUUGACGUGUAUAAAUUGUUUACCUCAAGAGAAAUUUCAUUGGAGAGAAAAAGAGAGAGAAAUUUCAUUGGAGAUCUAGAAAAUAAAAAUAGAAGAGAUGUUAUGGAAAUGUUUUCAAAAGAGAAAUAGCUACUUAGCAUUUUAUAAUAAUUUUAAAGUUUAUUAUAUUUUGAUAAUGAAAAUUUAUUGUUGAAAACCUCAAAAUGGAAACUUAUGGAUAUAUACAUGUUCUUAGAAAUGAUAUUUUUCCUAUUUAAUAUAAUAUACUAUUCUGAUCAAGUUCCCUACCCACAAUCACCACAAAUUGUGUAUUUAACCAAAAAAUGGAGAUGAGAUUAAGACAUGCAAAUCAGCAAUAAAUUCUAAUUAAUGUGAAGAUAAGGUACCUCUUAAUAGCUAGCUGUUCUUUGUUAAAGUCAUCGCUUACUUGUUGACCAUUUAAACUCCAACAAUUAUCACAUAUGACGAAUUGAAUGCGAGCCACGUGAAGAUGUAGAUGUAUAUACCCUUCAUGUCUUUUUUGUUUUGUUUUUUUUUUCAGAUUCUGAAAACAUUAGUUCAAGAAAAAAGUCAACAACUCGUAAGAAGCAAAGCAGACCAAGAAAAAAAUGGCAGGAGGGUCGUUUGGUCCAACGGGUGUGGCUAAAGAAAGAGCAGAACAGUACCAAGGGAAAGUCACUAGCUAUGUCAUCAUCGCUUGUCUUGUUGCAGCCAUCGGUGGAUCCAUCUUUGGAUAUGACAUUGGAAUCUCAGGUUCUCUUCAUCAUCAUCUUCUUCUUCCUCCUCUUUAAAGUCCAAAAUCUGAAAUGGGUUUUGUUUACAGGAGGAGUCACAUCAAUGGAUGAGUUUCUUGAUCAGUUUUUCCAUACGGUUUAUGAGAAGAAGAAGCAAGCUCAUGAGAGUAAUUACUGCAAAUAUGAUAAUCAAGGAUUAGCUGCUUUCACUUCUUCACUCUACUUGGCUGGUCUGGUUUCAACUCUGGCCGCUUCACCCAUCACUAGAAACUAUGGAAGGCGUGCGAGCAUUGUAUGUGGUGGAGUCAGCUUUUUUAUUG
This 1285-nucleotide long non-coding RNA is filed under the name Brassica napus (rape). RNAcentral describes it as "long non-coding RNA (BNAP_LNC002428)". Lineage: Eukaryota; Viridiplantae; Streptophyta; Magnoliopsida; Brassicales; Brassicaceae. The record is from RNAcentral.